Non-coding RNA from Pantherophis guttatus, 549 nucleotides. The record is from RefSeq and is a predicted model, not a curated record. NCBI's taxonomy places the organism in Eukaryota, Metazoa, Chordata, Lepidosauria, Squamata, Colubridae.
GCUGUAACCAUGCAAUGGUCUGUGGGAAGGACCUUGGCAGACAGGAGGAAGAGCUGCAGCCUAGUCGGCCGUCCUGGAAAAAGGAAGUCCUUGGCUUACGGCCACAACUGAGCCCAAAAUUGUCCCAAAAAUGGACAGCAUCAAGGCAACCUGGGAGCUCCGAGGGGGAAGAGGGAAUAGAGCUGGCAGAGAGAGAGAGAGACAGUGACGGAGCAUGGGCCAUCAUUCAUCCCUCAGAUGGAGAGUCAACAGCCCCCAGGUCUGGAAGUGGCUGAUGAGGAGGAGGAGGAACAGCUGGGUCCAGUGCCUGAUGCACAGAUGCGCAGAAGGCAGAGGAGAGGAGAGCAGUGGAAAUCUAUGGGCCGGUCCUUAGGAAGGAAGAGCCACCAAUGCUAGCGAAGCCCCACCCUAGCUCUGGGGAUAAAAGGCAGGAGGUAGAGAUGAAUAGGUUUGGCAGACAACUAUUCAUCUUCUGGCCGGAUGGACUUGUUAGCCUGCGGUGAGAGAGAAACUUUUUGGCGCUCCUAAUAAAGGAAUCUUUUGAGUUCA